Molecule: long non-coding RNA, 1070 nt
Organism: Molossus molossus (Pallas's mastiff bat)
Lineage: Eukaryota; Metazoa; Chordata; Mammalia; Chiroptera; Molossidae
Exons: 3
Source: RefSeq, a predicted model, not a curated record
GGCCGCCGGGUGUCUCAGCUUCUGCAGGGUGCUCCCGCCGAGCACGGGAUGGCAGUGCCCGAUGAAAUGCCAGUGAGUGGAAAGAAGCUGGGACCCUUUCCUUCCACCCUGUUUAUCAGCCCUGCGACUGCCUUGGGGCGGACCUUAGGUACCCUGCUUGAGAGGGGCUCUAACUACACGCAUCCUCAGCAGAGUUGCACCCUGGAGGCAUCGCUGUGGUUGCAGUCUCCUCAGUGACUAGAUGGGUCCAGAAUUCGCCAGUAAAAUGAAGGCCUGAAAAGUAAUUACAGGAGGUGAGGCACGAAUCAGGAUUAAUUGAGAAGGAAAGAGGAAGAUGCCUGGAGCCAACUCCAUGAGGGGAGGAAGAGCAGCAGCAUCAGUGAGCAUGAGCACGGGGCCACUUGCUUCAUGUUCCAUUGGAUGUCUUGAAAAGAUCCUGAGUUCAGAUAUGCACCCACUUAUUCUUCAUCACCAUUUCCACUUUACAAAAGAGAACACCGAAGCACGGAGGAGUUGAGUAUCUCGUUCAGUUCACAAACCUAGAAGGUGGCAGUGGAGCCAGGAGUGGAACUCAGGUGGUCAGGAUCCAGAAGUCCAAUGAUCAUCACAGAGACAAGCACCGGUGGCAGAGCUAACAACUGGAAGACAUGAUAGCAGUCUCCGAUGGAUGUCUUCCCUUCCGCUGGGGUCCAGGCCACAAAUAGAUGUAGAGGCUGGCAGGUGAAUUCGCAGCCAGAGCUCAAAAGUGUGUAGGCCUGGGCCAAAGUCCUAGGCGAUCUGGAAGUUUCUCUUACCCUGAAAGAUAGAAUUAAGUCUUUGAAUGCACAACAGGUUUUUUGUUUUGUUUUUGUUUUUUAUAAAAGUACAGUCAUACUUAAAGGAAAGAGCUUCUAGAAAUCGAACAAUUAUGAAUGAAAAAAGACUAGAAAUUUUCACUAAAGUAUUGACAAUUGAGUAUCUUUAGUGCUAGAAAUGUGGGUGAUUUAAAAUGUUUUAUGUAGCCCUGGCCAGGUAGCUCACUUGGUUAAAGCAUCUCCUGACACAGCAAGGUUGCAGGUUCGAUCCCUGGG